Molecule: transfer RNA, 86 nt
Filed under: Felis catus (domestic cat)
Lineage: Eukaryota; Metazoa; Chordata; Mammalia; Carnivora; Felidae
Rfam family: tRNA
About the family: Transfer RNA (tRNA) molecules are approximately 80 nucleotides in length. Their secondary structure includes four short double-helical elements and three loops (D, anti-codon, and T loops).
Source: Rfam by way of RNAcentral
GCCUGGGUGGCUCAGUUGGUUAAAGCGCCAGACUUUGGCUCAGGUCGUGAUCUCACGGUUUGUGGGUUCGAGCCCCACGUCGGGCU